UACGUAGGUGGCAAGCGUUGUCCGGAUUUACUGGGCGUAAAGAGCGCGCAGGCGGUCGUGCAAGUCGCGUGUGAAAGCCCCCGGCUCAACUGGGGAGGGUCACGCGAUACUGCUCGACUUGAAGGCAGGAGAGGGAAGUGGAAUUCCCGGUGUAGUGGUGAAAUGCGUAGAUAUCGGGAGGAGCACCAGUGGCGAAGGCGACUUCCUGGCCUGUUCUUGACGCUGAGGCGCGAAAGCUAGGGGAGCAAACGGG
RNAcentral lists this ribosomal RNA (253 nucleotides) under uncultured bacterium. RNAcentral describes it as "partial 16S ribosomal RNA". It matches the Rfam family "Bacterial small subunit ribosomal RNA", at positions 524 to 776 of the family's 1533-position model. The record is from RNAcentral.